CGAGGGGGCAAAUGUUGUUCGGAAUCACUGGGCGUAAAGGGAGCGUAGGCGGGUUUCUAAGUCAGGUGUUUAAUCCCGGGGCCCAACCCCGGACAGGCACUUGAAACUGGGAAUCUUGAAUAGUGGAGAGGUCAGUGGAAUUGGGGGUGUAGCGGUGGAAUGCGUAGAGAUCCCCAAGAACACCAGUUGCGAAGGCGGCUGACUGGACACAUAUUGACGCUGAGGCUCGAAAGCAUGGGGAGCAAAACAGGAUUAGAUACCCUGGUAGUCCAUGCCAUAAACGAUGAAUACUAGGUUUUGGGCCCGUCAACGGUCCAGAGCCGCAGCUAACGCGUUAAGUAUUCCGCCUGGGGAGUACGGUCGCAAGACUG
RNAcentral lists this ribosomal RNA (371 nucleotides) under uncultured organism. RNAcentral's name for it is "bacterial SSU rRNA". It matches the Rfam family "Bacterial small subunit ribosomal RNA", at positions 527 to 896 of the family's 1533-position model. The record is from RNAcentral.